CCGGGCCAGCCUGACGAGGGCCGAGUCCCAGGAGUUUGGGAUCUAUCCUUCAGACCACAAAGGCUCAUUGAAAGUUUCUAACCAGGGCAGUCACAUGGAGCCUUCCACGUUUCUGGAAGAGGAAUGUGCAGUGAGGCUGAGGGAUGGGAAACAGGGAAAUCUGACACAAGGUGGCCCGUGGGAAGCUACUCCAGUAGCAAAGGUCGAGACCUGGAGCUCCUGCCCGACCCUCCCAAGGAACUGUCAUGGAGCUGUGAGCCAUACAGGUUUUAGAAAUCUGGCGUGUAUCUUCCAUCUCAGCAAGUAGCUG
RNAcentral lists this long non-coding RNA (310 nucleotides) under Homo sapiens (human). RNAcentral describes it as "non-protein coding lnc-PRDM1-3:1". The record is from RNAcentral. Lineage: Eukaryota; Metazoa; Chordata; Mammalia; Primates; Hominidae.